This 707-nucleotide ribosomal RNA is filed under the name uncultured Actinomycetes bacterium. RNAcentral's name for it is "bacterial SSU rRNA". It matches the Rfam family "Bacterial small subunit ribosomal RNA", at positions 56 to 756 of the family's 1533-position model. The record is from RNAcentral. Lineage: Bacteria; Bacillati; Actinomycetota; Actinomycetes.
UGCAAGUCGAACGCUGAAGCCUGGCUUUUGUUGGGUGGAUGAGUGGCGAACGGGUGAGUAACACGUGAGUAACCUGCCCUCUUCUUUGGGAUAACGUCCGGAAACGGGUGCUAAUACUGGAUAUUCACUUGCCUUCGCAUGGGGGUGGGUGGAAAGGGUUUUUUUCUGGUGGGGGAUGGGCUCGCGGCCUAUCAGCUUGUUGGUGGGGUGAUGGCUUACCAAGGCUUUGACGGGUAGCCGGCCUGAGAGGGUGACCGGUCACAUUGGGACUGAGAUACGGCCCAGACUCCUACGGGAGGCAGCAGUGGGGAAUAUUGCACAAUGGGCGCAAGCCUGAUGCAGCGACGCCGCGUGAGGGAUGGAGGCCUUCGGGUUGUGAACCUCUUUCGCUCAUGGUCAAGCCGCAACUCAUGGUUGUGGUGAGGGUAGUGGGUAAAGAAGCGCCGGCUAACUACGUGCCAGCAGCCGCGGUAAUACGUAGGGCGCGAGCGUUGUCCGGAAUUAUUGGGCGUAAAGGGCUUGUAGGCGGUUGGUCGCGUCUGCCGUGAAAUCCUCUGGCUUAACUGGGGGCGUGCGGUGGGUACGGGCUGACUUGAGUGCGGUAGGGGAGACUGGAACUCCUGGUGUAGCGGUGGAAUGCGCAGAUAUCAGGAAGAACACCGGUGGCGAAGGCGGGUCUCUGGGCCGUUACUGACGCUGAGGAGCGA